CAAUAUUCAUUGAAGAUUCAUCCAUGUCUUCAAUGGCAUGAUAGUGCAUUUCUUUCUAUUGAUGCAUAGUGUUCCAUUGUAUGGAUGUACCACAGUUAAUUUCUUCAUUCACCUUUUGACAGAUAUGAUGACUACUUCCAGUUUUUGAUGAGUAUGAACAGAACUCCCAUGACCAUUCACGUGCAGGUGUGCAAGCUUUUGUAUAGGAAGAAAUUUUCAAGUCAAUUGGGUAAAUACUCAGAAACACAAAUGAUGAGGGAUAAGAUAAAUGUUUUAAGAAGUCUUUAUGCUUCCUUUUCUCCCAUGGAUGCAAAUUAACUGCAGAAGUGCUAUACAUCAAGUAUACCUAAUGUCAGACUCUUGACAAUGCUUUAUCAAAGAUGCUAAGAGUCUAAGGUGAUACUUAAAUGAAUAGAUGAUACACAAGCACUAAGUAAGGUCCUAUUUAAACAAUGCAAAGCAAAAUGGAACCGGCCUUUCUAUUCAUACUUCAUUUCAGUGUGUGUGAUAAAUUGAUGAAAAUUGAUUUUCAACGCGAAUGUGGAAGAGAAAAUAAGUGUUGAUUAUUUUAUCAGUGUGCUCUUCACACGAUCUUCAUCUUGUCCAUACAGUCCAGUUCUUGGGAAUCUCAAAAUAGUUUUUUAUUGACACCAAUGAAAAGGAGAAAGAAAGAGUUUAACUUUCUUUCAGUACACAUUUGAAAAUAAUGCUUAAUCAGCUACACUCAAGAAUAAACCUGUCAAUCAAGUUGAGAAACAAAAGGAUCACCCACUCACCUGCUAAUUGCAAAAUUAAGCUAAUUCAUACAAUAGAACAAUAAAUGCCUCCAACUGUCACUCUUGC
Molecule: long non-coding RNA, 843 nt
Filed under: Equus asinus (donkey)
Lineage: Eukaryota; Metazoa; Chordata; Mammalia; Perissodactyla; Equidae
Description: lncRNA (ENSEASG00005029267.1)
Source: RNAcentral